RNAcentral lists this long non-coding RNA (4572 nucleotides) under Oreochromis niloticus (Nile tilapia). RNAcentral describes it as "lncRNA (ENSONIG00000027416.1)". The record is from RNAcentral. Lineage: Eukaryota; Metazoa; Chordata; Actinopteri; Cichliformes; Cichlidae.
UUCUCUUUUGCUCCUUUGCAGUUAAACAACAAACAACAAACUGAUCUGGAUGAUUUUACUUUAAAAAUAUUUUAAAGAUUGUUGAAAGAUUUAAAAAAAAUUGACAAUAGUAUGGGUGAUGAAAUUAUGCUAAUUCAAAAGGAUUAGAACCCAGUUUUAUCCCCAAAAUAAACAAAAUAGUGCUGAAAAUGUUGAUAACCUGUGAGUUUUGGAUUGUUGUUCAGAGUUAUUUCUUUAACAAAGAAUAAAAAAAAAAAUCAGUUCGCCAGAUAAAUCUCUAGGUUAAAGAAAACAACUUUAAUUGUUAGUGUAGUUAAUCAAAUGACCAGUAGUCGGUGCUAUCACCGUGAAAUCAAUAUUUAUUGACCGCCUCUUUUAGGCGAAGAAGAUAAUGAUGCUGCUGCUUCUGUUGUUCAGCUAGCGGUAAUAGACACGGCGUAAGUGACAUUAACCUGUCAGUACAAGUCAGCUACAGGAAACAUGGAUUUGGUCAAAAACAGAACUUUGCACCCACAUCUCCGCGAUGACGAGGCUCUGGUGGUGGAAAACGCCAUCCGUCUGGCCAUAGACUCUGUGAUAAACGUUUUGUACGGCGUAAACAGCGCCAAGAAUUACGAGUAUGAGCGGAUGGUGGCCGACAGGGACAAAGAGAUCCAGCGCCUGGAGUGCAGACUGACAGAGAUGGAGCACGAGCUGCAGGUGCUGCGCCGGCAGGGAUGCAUUUGCGGGCUGUUAAAGAACGAGCACAGCCUCGGCAGGUCCCGGAGCUCCGGUGACCGGCAGAAGGGAGUUCAGAGCGGCUUUGAUCCGGGAUGCGUUGACACCGAGCUGACAGCGGAGCAGCAGGACUGUGAGACGAGUUUAUCGUUGGGUCUUUUCGCAAGACCCCCCUCACACGUUUCCUCCCACAGCCAGGAGUCAGCUCUUCCAUCUUCCCCCAGCAGAAUGGUCCUGGAGCACACCUGCACCUCCCGCUCCUCCGAGGUUUCGGGUGUAACGGAGGCCGCCAGAAAUAUGCCGACAUCUCCCAGCAGCCUCGUGGUCAAAGAAGAGCCAUGUGACGUCGACACGGUCUUAAUCAAGUGGGAAAUGAGUGAACAUCAGCAGAGCACGGGCAGUCCGUGUCAGGACAAAGAGAGUCUCAGUGCAAAAAAAAAAAUGGAGACUGGAGAAGGAAGGACGUUCAGGGAGAAACCACAGGCAGACCCGGGUGGAGUCGUAAUGACUGAGGCAGAGCACACGAGGAACAAGAAGAAGAGCGUGCCAAUGUCGGAGCUGCCAGAGGAAGCUCAGAGACUGAAGAGGGCAGCCUGGAGAGCAGCUUCCAGACGAUAUUAUGCUCGAAAGAUAGCUCGCCAGCAGGCAAACCCAUCACAAUCCAGCCCCUUCCCCCACAUCGCAAACUCUCAGAAUUCACAGCCCAGCUCUUUUGUGGAUAAGAGGAGGAGGACACUGAUAUCGGAGCUACCUGAAGAGUCUCAGACGCUGCAGAGAGAAGCUUGGAGAGCCGCAUCCAGGAGGUACUACGCUAGAAAAAUCGCUCGGCACCAGACGGAGACAACACAGUACAGAAACCUGCUGGAGAACAUAAACCCAUCUGGAGACACGCAGGGACCCAACAGGGAAGGACCUCACAUGAACACUGGAGGAAUAAUGUGCAGCUGAUAGACAGAAGUUUUACAUUUUAAAUGUUUCUGUUCAGCAGAUUGGAGGGUCCUUUUUACUGCGGUAUGAAGAAUAAUGAAAUCUGACUGUUUGUGUUUUGGUGGCUUUGAAUUAAUAAUGAUGGGAAUUGUCUCAGGUCUGAAUAACAUGAACCUGGUGUUUCAAAUGAGUCAUCUGUGCAUUUCCUCAGUUCAUGACCUCUUGAUGAUGUGUUAGGCAGCAGGUUUAAUCAGAAUCCUAGUACUAGUACCAGCAAAAUUGAACCUUUCACAUAUCACACAUUUCAAAAAUAUAUCAAACUAAAAAAAGAAAUAUUGGGAGAAAUUGUCUUGAUGUUCUUUAAAAAUUAAAAGUUGAUCUCGCUCCUGUCAUCCUUCUGUCUCCAGGAAUUUUUGGUGGAGUCAUCCAGUGUCAGACUGUUUUUGAAGUUAACCUUCAUGAGAUCAACUCUACAUUCUGAUUUGUCUCCCUUCAUGUCAGCAAUAUUUGCAUGUACAAAACUUUUACUGGAAAAGAGCCUGAAUAAAUGUAUCAUGAGGCAAUAUGCAUAAAUCCAUGGCACUAACUAACAUGGCAGUACAGCGCCCCUGGAGAGUAACAUCUGUAACUACAGCGUGAGUGCAUCCAUAGUGGCUACAUUUUUAGCUCAACAUCUUUGAUUUCAGUGUCGGGUAAAGAAUUAUUAUUUCAGACAAUGCUGGUAAACUUUAAAGUGUAUUUUUGGACUUUGUCACAUAUUAAAAACUGUCUUUCCCCUUCCCGUUGAAAUGAACUCCCAUCAGUUUCUGGGUUACACUUCAGUAUUUGAAGCCAGCAAGCAGGGUGAACACAGAAAUGUUAAAAUAUCUCAUUUUGCAGUAAAUGUGUACAAUAAAACAAAGUGACAACGUUUCCUUUUUUUUGUAUUUAUUUAUUCUGCAAUAUUAAACACAUUCGCAGUCAAUAUGGCUGUCUGGUGUCCCAAAGUAUACAGCACACAGAGCUGCAGUAAAGCAGCUUGUUUGAUCUAGAAAAUAAGAAUGAGAACUAUAAGAACUAUACAUGAAUAUCUUUCGGUGUUCUGUAGUCGAGUCUUUGCCCUGGGGCUUCAAUAUUGUGGCUUUCAACGUGUCAACAAGGCGCUCCUCCUGCCCCCCAGCUUAAAAAAACACAAAACGAGGUCUUGCAACAGAGGUUUGUCACCGCGGAGCGUAAAUAUUACGCACAGCUGAUCUUGCACGAAUGCGGUUACUACAGUAUAGUAUAUGUCUGUGUGUAUUCAUCACACAGUCUGAAAUGUGAGCCGACUGACAGCUGCGGUGGCAACUGUUCACUGAGGACAGGCGUGCGUCCGGCUGCAGUUCCGCCUGCAGCUGCGGUGCUGAAUAAAGGCUGUACUAUGGCAAUGGCUUGCCAUACUGUACUGGCUCACAGACGCGCUACUGUACCACCAACACGCCCUGAGCGUCGAUGCGGACCGUUUUCCUAGCAGAUAACUGAAGGCUUUGUCGUUUCUAGUGAACAGUCGGCUUUUAUCUCUAUUUUUCACCCACUUCACAGCGCGGGGAGGACAGGGCUUCUCUUGUGCUGCUGCCUGAGGCUGGAUGUCUCAGUGAGAGGAUGCGGGGUCUCUAACCCACUCGCGGCUUGCUCAGGUCUGGACAUGCUGGGAGGCAAACGCCCAUCCUAACUGUGGCUGUGUGUUGUUCUAAAAAGCGACGUAGAGAACAGCCGGGUUAAAUGAGGAACAGGUCUGUGCUUUAACGCUGUGUCGUGCUGGUCGCUGCCAGCAGGAUUUGCAUGAGGUUUAUUUUGGGGGAAACAGCUUCAACCGUCGGCGCAGCAGGCUGGUCCUCACACCAAAGGAUUCACCGGAUUUGGCUGCACGUUUUUUGUGCUAAAAGUUCACAUUUAUUCUUAUUUAAGGCCGCAUGAAAGACCAAAUCAUAACUAUACACGAUUACUCUGGCGCACUGAAUGGGAGCGCCUAUAGUUCAGGUUUUUGUCUGUUGGUCAGACAAGCGCUCAUCUAAAUUUAAAAACAUGUUCUACGGUGCUGUGAGUAAUAACAAAUGUAUUUUUCAAUAAAUUAUGUAUUUAAAUAAGUUAGAUUAAUAAACUAUUGUCGGCAGUGCCAUUGCGCAUUUUGGAGCAUCUUUCUCAAUGCCCUUCACUUUUUAGUAGACUUUAAAUUGGACAUUUUUAAAAUGUAACUUUUAAUUUGUAUGUACAUUUGGCAUAUUUGGUUAUAUUUAGGAUUAUAAUUACCUUUUACGCUGGAUACAAUUUUUUUUUAUACUCCUGUGGCCUCUUGAGAGCUCCCUGAGCAUUUGGAUACACCUGUGCACUUUUGGAGAUGUCCAUUUGGAUUCGCGGCUCACUUUUGGCUUUGUUGGAUUUUAUUCACGUGAAAAUAUUUUUCUUCGGAUUCUUUUGAUCUAGUCCAUAAGAAAAGGGUCCGUUUUACCAAUUGAUCCCACCAAUGGAGUCUGUGCAGCCUUUCAGAGAUGCUCCAUGUCUUGGCAAACGCACAAAAAGCAGCAGCAAGUUCCUAAGAGUUCAGUUGCGCACUCACGGACAAUCCCUUUUCAGUAUUAACUGUAUGACUACUGGAUGGACCAAAAUAAGUUGAAACCAUAGGGGUAGAACAGUAUAUUUCUGAGGAGGGGGCUUUACCUUUUAAUACCAUUUUUUAAAUCAUUUUAUAAUGGGAUAUUGGAGGUUAUGUUUAUUUAGGGCCCAAAGGGCCAUUUUUAGAUUUGGGGGACAUUCUGGGCUUUUUAGAAAUGAUUUUGUCAAAUUUGUUCACCCCUACAUGAGCUACAGACAUGGAAGUGUCCUUUUUGCAGGGAUUGCUGGGAAGAAGAAGGAGGCUGUCGAGGUUGGGACUUUGGAGAGGGAGGUAUAGUUAGAGCCACUGUCUGAAAG